UAACAAGGUUUCCGUAGGUGAACCUGCGGAAGGAUCAUUAUUGAAAUAAACUGAUGGGUUGCUGCUGGCUCUCUAGGGAGCAUGUGCACACCUUGUCAUCUUUAUAUCUCCACCUGUGCACCUUUUGUAGACCUUUCAGGUCUAUGUUGCUUUUUCAUUUACCCCAAUGUAUGUUAAUAGAAUGUUGUGCCUAUAAAAUCUAUACAACUUUCAGCAACGGAUCUCUUGGCUCUCGCAUCGAUGAAGAACGCAGCGAAAUGCGAUAAGUAAUGUGAAUUGCAGAAUUCAGUGAAUCAUCGAAUCUUUGAACGCACCUUGCGCUCCUUGGUAUUCCGAGGAGCAUGCCUGUUUGAGUGUCAUUAAUAUAUAUAUCAACCUUCUCUUGUUGAGUGGUUUGGAUGUGGGGGUUUGCUGGCCUCUUAGAGGUUCAGCUCCCCUGAAAUGCAUUAGCGGAACAAACCUUGUUCAUUGGCGUGAUAACUAUCUAUGCUAUUGAAAGCAAGGGGGAAGUUCAGCUUUCUAACAGUCUUUGGACAAUUUAUCAUUUAUGUGACCUCAAAUCAGGUAGGACUACCCGCUGAACUUAAGCAUAUCAAUAAG
Molecule: ribosomal RNA, 600 nt
Filed under: Cortinarius sp. OSC 1064097
Lineage: Eukaryota; Fungi; Basidiomycota; Agaricomycetes; Agaricales; Cortinariaceae
Description: eukaryotic LSU rRNA
Rfam family: 5.8S ribosomal RNA (bases 206-359)
Source: RNAcentral